GACGAACGCUGGCGGCGUGCUUAACACAUGCAAGUCGAACGGAAAGGCCCUGCUUUUGUGGGGUGCUCGAGUGGCGAACGGGUGAGUAACACGUGAGUAACCUGCCCUUGACUUUGGGAUAACUUCAGGAAACUGGGGCUGAUACCGGAUAGGAGCUCCUGCUGCAUGGUGGGGGUUGGAAAGUUUCGGCGGCUGGGGAUGGACUCGCGGCUUAUCAGCUUGUUGGUGGGGUAGUGGCUUACCAAGGCUUUGACGGGUAGCCGGCCUGAGAGGGUGACCGGCCACAUUGGGACUGAGAUACGGCCCAGACUCCUACGGGAGGCAGCAGUGGGGAAUAUUGCACAAUGGGCGGAAGCCUGAUGCAGCAACGCCGCGUGCGGGAUGACGGCCUUCGGGUUGUAAACCGCUUUCGCCUGUGACGAAGCGUGAGUGACGGUAAUGGGUAAAGAAGCACUGGCUAACUACGUG
Molecule: ribosomal RNA, 468 nt
Filed under: uncultured bacterium
Lineage: Bacteria
Description: partial 16S ribosomal RNA
Rfam family: Bacterial small subunit ribosomal RNA
Source: RNAcentral